Molecule: small RNA, 596 nt
Filed under: bovine gut metagenome
Source: RNAcentral
UGUAAUUGAUGGCACAUUAUUCUAGUCAAUUACUUUAUUAGGAAGACGAGCUUAAAAAUUCGUUAAAGGGCAUAUCUGUGAAACCUUUGGUGUCUGCUUCUUACGCCCAGUUUGGGGUGGAUGCUGAAGAUGAGAAUCCUGGGCAACUCGUAAUGGCAUACGAGAAAUCGACCCACGAUUCGUGGAGACCUAUUCUUGUGAUAAAUCUAUACGGACAACAACUGAUGAUUUAUUACGAAAUAGGAUAAAACCUGUAUUGUGGCGAAAGCUAUGUGCAGCGUAGCCUGUCUUGAGUGAAGAUAUUGGGAUAAAUGAUCUUGUUUGAAAUGAGCGGCCACUCAUCUCAAAUAUUGCAUUUUGAAAUUGUUUUUGCAAAAAAGGACUAAUAGUAAAGUGUUGGAGAGGAAAUCUCCUAGGGUGUACUUCAUUAUAGGAUUGCAGUGGGCACUAAGUGGUAAUCAAGUCGUAUUGAUCGGUGACGACAUAUUAAUUCUUUUAAAGGGGAACCGCAAGUUUGGUAACGAAUUUGUAAGAAUUAGGGAAAUCCUACUUGACCUAAGGCUCAAAGUUAACUAUUAUGAUAGCCAAACAAUUAU